GCCUUCGUGGUGUAGUGGUCAGCACGCUCGACGCGUAUUCGAGAGGUCCGUGGUUCGAGUCCCGGUAAGAGCA
This is a non-coding RNA of Stegodyphus mimosarum, 73 nucleotides long. Lineage: Eukaryota; Metazoa; Arthropoda; Arachnida; Araneae; Eresidae. The record is from Rfam.